Molecule: long non-coding RNA, 4997 nt
Organism: Ictalurus punctatus (channel catfish)
Lineage: Eukaryota; Metazoa; Chordata; Actinopteri; Siluriformes; Ictaluridae
Source: Ensembl
CCCAUACUAAAUUUCUCAGCCAAUACCGAUAGCCGAUUAUUCAGAGUGAUAUCGGCCGAUACCGAUAACCGAUACCAAUAGCCCUGCCUUUUAUGACUUCUUUUAAAUUAAUAAUAAUUAAUUCCACAGUUCUGAAAGAAAUGCAAAUAAAAACUUUAUUCUCUCCAUUUCAACAAGUUGUUUCACAGUAACUGGUCUCAUAAACAGAAAACACAUUACUCAAAUUAAAAUUAACACAUGAACUAAAUUCUGAAGAUUAAAGUAAGAUUUCUUAACUUUAACAUUGAAUGUUAUUAAUUCGUAUUAACAUUGACUGAAUUCUAAAAAAAAACCUCCUGUUAGUCUCAUAUUCACUCACCACAAACAAACACAUUUCUACUUCAUUAUUGACAUCAAACUGGUAAUAUAUAAUAUAAACUUUUUUAUAUAUUAACAUUAACUGGAUAUGAAAUACACUACUCUACAAAUAUAUUUUUCUGUGCAAUAUAUACUACUUUGUGUCAACUCAUCUUCAUUUAAAUCUUUCAACGGUGUACUGGCCCUUUAAUUCAGCGCAAGGGCAAGCGGGCAGCGCAGGGAAAAAAAAAGAAAAUUAGACUCGACGGCAAAACUCCCGCUUCACUACUGCAGCGUUCGGUGUAAAAUUUUAGCAGUGCAGAGCUUUCAGAAUUUACACACUGCAGUUUUUGCAUCAUUCCACACAAGAGACAUCAUCUUUACACACAGUACGAAAUUGAUAUGUUUUCCCACCUUCUUUUUAUUGACAGGAUAUAAUUGGCCCUGCAUCUGAUUUUUUUAUAUUAUUGCCUCAUGGCCAAUAGCGGGAAAAAUUGCCUUUAUCGGCUGAUACCGAUUAUCAGCCGAUACAUGUGUGCAUCUCAAAUAUAUAUAUAUAGCUAUGUAUAGUUCAGUCAAUAGCUAAUGGUCAAGCUGACAAAACAAUAUAGUUCAGUGGUAGCAAUAAUCAUCCAUCCAUCCAUCGAUUUUCUGUAACACUUAUGCUACACAGGGUUGUGGGGAGCCUGGAACCUAUCUCAGAGGACUCUGGGCACAAGGCAGGGGACACGCUGGACGGGGUGCCAACUCUUCACAGGGCACAAUCACACACACAUUCACACACUGUGGACAAUUUAGAGAUGCCAGUCAGCCUACUGUACAACGCAUGUCUUUGUACUAGGGAAGAAAACUUAUUAUGAAGCAAAAGCUGUGUGUGUGUGCUUGCUGGUUAACAUCUGAAUGCAGAGGAAAUAUAAAUUGCUUACAACCUGAUGUCUUGAUGCCCUGGAAAGAACAGCACCUCUCUUCAGCAAGCUUGGACAGCUGAAUAACAUUCUACAAUGUCCUAACACUAUCCACACCAUUCAUACAUGUCUGUCAAGUCAAUUAUUAUGAAGGAGCAGUAUACAGAAUGAGCUGUAAUACAUUAUGUAUCUUUGUUUUAGUCAGAAAUAGGACUAAGGCCAGUUUUCAGAUUGUGACACAAACUGCCAUAUGGACAUCAUUGUACCUGGUUGGUGGAAAGUAAAACAUGUUUUAACCCUUUCAGGCAGUACACUGAUGUUACAUUCCACCAGCAGAAUGGAAAUCAACUUAUCCGACAUUUUCAAUCAGUAUAAACAAAUGAAUUAUUUUAUCGCUACAAGUCUGUUAUAAUAUUAGUCAGGGCACUCUUGGGUUUCAGUGUGUAGAGUAUCAUGACUCUGUGUUUAGCUGCUGGGGAGCAGGGUGGUAGCAAAGGGGAGAAGUGUGAGCCCCCUGCUAGGUAAACAAUUCAUACCUCUCCACAAUAACAUUGUUACAGAGAUCAAAUGGACAGCACAACUAUAGCUUUUUUCGAGUUAAAUACUGUAUACAACUGCCACAACUAAAUUAUAAAAUUUAAACCUAGUAGGCUAGGUAAAAAAUAAAUGCUUGAAAAACUGCAAAUACUUAAAGCCUCAAGUGUCUACUUUCACAUGAGCCAUUAACCACUACUGUGGAGUGUGACAUCACAAAUAAAUUCAAUGCUGAAUGUGCGCCCCCAAAACAGGAGGAAGUCUGUCACUGUCUUCCAAUAACCAGACAGACAUGACGAACUGGCAUGUAUUACUCCCAAUCACACCUUUUUCUGGAGUUCAUGGUCACUGUGUUCUAUGAGACUUUUUCUACUUGCUUCUGCACAAGACUGAACAAACAAAACCAUCACCGUUCUCCUGAAUCCAGGGGCACCUUCACACCUUUAGUCAAAUUUACCAAGUUUGAAUUCAAGUGAAAUGUAUACUUUUCUUCAUUGGCUGUUUGUUUUGGUUUGGUUUCACAUUGCACAUGCAGCUGCAUCUCAAAAAAUUUGAAUAUCGUGGAAAAUUUCAUUUGUUUCCCAUAAUUUAAUUCAAAAGUGGAACUUUCGUAUGUUCUAGAUUCAUUACACAUAAAGUGAAUUAUUUCAAGCCUUUUUUGUUGUCAUUUUGAUGAUUACAGCUUACAGCUCAUGGAAAUCAAAAAUCCAGUAUCUCACAAUAUUUAUAAUACAAAAAUGUCGACCCGAGAAGAGCUCUAAUCGGCUAAUUAAAUCAAAACACCUGCAAAAGUUUCCUUAGCCUUCUAUCUCUCAGUCUGGUUCAGUACACACAACCACAAUCAUGGGGAAGAUGAAAGUAAAUUUUGUGUUUCAUUUGGAAAUCAAGGUCCCAGAGUCUGGAAGAAGAGUGGAGAGGCACAGAAUCCAAGUUGUUUGAAGUCCAGUGUGACAUUUCCACAGUCAGUGAUGUUUUGGUGUGCCAUGUCAUCUGCUGGUAUUGGUCCACUGUGUUUUCUCAAGUCGAGAGUCAAUGCAGCAUCUACCAGGAGAUUUUAGAGCAAUUCAUGCUUCCACCUGCUGACAAGCUUUAUGAUGAUGCUGAUUUCCAGCAGGACUUGGCACCUGCCCACAGUGCCAAAACUACUAGUAACUGGUUUGCUGACAAUGGUAUUACUGUGUUUCAUUGGCCAGCCAACUUGCCAGACCUGAACCCCAUAGAGAAUCUAUGAGAGACACCAGAACCAACAAUACAGAUGAGCUGAAGGCCGCUAUCAAAGCAACCUGGGCUUCCAUAACACCUCAGCAGUGUCACAGGCUGAUUGCCUCCAUGCCUCGCCGCAUUGAUGCAGUAAAUCAUGCAAAAGGAUUAAAGCCCUGACCAAGUAUUGAGUGCAUAAAUUAACAUAUUUUUUAUAAAGUUGACAUUUCUGUAUUAUAAAUUCUUUAUUAUAAUAUUUUGAGAUACUGGAUUUUUUUUAUUUCCAUGUGCUGUAAUCAUCAAGAUUAAAACCAAAAAAUUCUUCACUUUUGACAACCAAAAUAUUUCACUUUUGUCAUGAUUUCCCCUUGAGCCAGCGCUGCAACAUUGCAGUGUGCACAGAAAACCGAAGCGCAUGCGCAUGCACGAGCCAGAUGCGUGAGCGCUUAGCGAACGCAUGAUUUUCGGUUUUCAAUGACAGUGACUUUGUGUACUUUGGACAUGUGCUGUUGUUAUGAUUAUGUUCUGUCUCCGCCCCGUUUAGUCAUUGGUUGUUUUCCGGCGGUGUGUCAAUAUUGUUUUCAGCUGUCCGUGUUUACCCAUGAUUAUGUUGGUCAUUUAAACCCCUCGUGUCUCUGUACACUUUGUGCAGCAUUGAGUUUACCUCAUUAACAAGCUCUCGGCUCUCGGCUCUGACCUUGUUUCUCGUUUCCUCGUCCUAUUUAUUCCUGUUUGUAGAUCACCUGACCUUUUGCAUGUUAUUAGACCACGCUUUGGAUUACUGUUUUGGAUUUGUCUGCCCAUAUCUCCUUUUAAUAAAAACUCUUAUCUGCAUUUGCAUCCGUCCUUAACUCCAUUAAGUAAGUUCAUGACAACUUUGUGUAAUGAAUGUAGAAUAUGAAAGUUCCACUUUUUAUUUAAAUUACAGAAAAAAAUUAAUGUCUCCACAAUAUUCAAGUUUUUUGAGAUGCAACUGUAAUGAAAUGAACCCAAAAGCAAAAACACUUUGGCUGAGGGGUGUGUAGUCCUUCAAUUUAUUGGUUAGAAAUACUGUGACCAAAAAAGGGGUAAACAAUCCUUUGCCAAGUAAGCACAGAAAUUACAAAAUCACCUGGGCACAGAGAACAUGAAGCAGGCAAUAAAUAAAUGAUUAGAUACUUAUAUAAAUAUCCAUCCAUCCGUUUUCCAUAACACUUAUCUUACGCAGGGUUGCAUGGAGCCUAUACCAGGGAACUUGGGGCACAGGGAGGAGGACACCCUGGAAGGGGUGCCAGCCCAUCACAAAAAUUACACACUAUGGACAAUUUGGAAAUGCCAGUCUGCCUACAACACAUGUAUUUGGAAUAGUGAAGGAAACCGGAGUACCUGGAGGAAACCUUUGAAGCAUGGUCUCCAGUUCAGUAAUAUUCUUGCUUUAAUUUUUAAACUGGAGUAGUCAUAAGAUGCAUUUUCAGUUGAAUUUUGGGAAACCACUUGAAGCGUUCGUUGUGUUGAACUAUUUCAAUUGCUUUUGUUUGAUUUGUUUACUGCAAACAACUGAAAGUCUGUACAUUUUGACAAUAAACCUGAUUUGCAAUGGGGGUUGAAUAAUUUUGAUUGCAACUGUAUGCACCCUCAUAAAAUACACAAUCUUUCUCCACAUUAUAAUGGCUCCAUAUUACUUUUUUAUUUAUAGAAAAAGUAAAGAAGCUACUCAGUGAAAUACAUAUUCUGUUUAAAUUGGAAUAUUUUUAUGAUAAUACACAAACCAGUUGUAUGCAGUUUCAGGUGCAUAUUAUUGCAGGGUUUGACGGAAAGGUUUAUUUAAAGACCCAGUUAGGAAGUGUUGAUACAGCAGUCUUUACUUUUACUUUUUACUCGGUUUUUCAUCAACAUUGUAAAUGCCUGUUUUUUCCUCACUGCAUCACAAUAUUGUGAACAUACAAUAUUAACUGUUGCACAGAGUUGCUCAGUUACUUGUGUUACAUUUACAUGAUCUCUUUUGAAAAAGCCAGAUCCAUAAUGCUAUAACCUGUAAUGCUG